UGCGAUGACACGCAAUCAAUACAACUUUCAACAACGGAUCUCUUGGCUCUCGCAUCGAUGAAGAACGCAGCGAAAUGCGAUACGUAAUGUGAAUUGCAGAAUUCAGUGAAUCAUCGAAUCUUUGAACGCACCUUGCGCCCCUUGGCAUUCCGAGGGGCACACCCGUUUGAGUGUCGUGAAAUUCUCAAAAACCCCUUCCUUUGGUGGAAAGGAUUUUGGACUUGGAGGCCUUUUGCUGGUUUCACCUUGAAGCGAGCUCCUCCCAAAUGGAUUAGCGGGGUCUGCUUUGCUGAUCCUUGACGUGAUAAUACAUUUCUACGUCUUGGGUUUCUGCACUGUACCUCUGCUUCUAACCGUCUCAUUGACAACGAUGGUGUUCCGGUCACCGCCGAUUCAUCGGUGGGAGGCUUGACCCACAAAACGACCUUGACCUCAAAUCGGGUGAGACUACCCGCUGAACUUAAGCAUAUCAAUAAGCGGAGGA
This 484-nucleotide ribosomal RNA is filed under the name Russula fragilis. RNAcentral describes it as "eukaryotic LSU rRNA". The stretch from base 23 to 176 matches the Rfam family "5.8S ribosomal RNA". Lineage: Eukaryota; Fungi; Basidiomycota; Agaricomycetes; Russulales; Russulaceae. The record is from RNAcentral.